RNAcentral lists this transfer RNA (73 nucleotides) under Ixodes scapularis (black-legged tick). It matches the Rfam family "tRNA". Rfam says of the family: Transfer RNA (tRNA) molecules are approximately 80 nucleotides in length. Their secondary structure includes four short double-helical elements and three loops (D, anti-codon, and T loops). The record is from Rfam by way of RNAcentral. Lineage: Eukaryota; Metazoa; Arthropoda; Arachnida; Ixodida; Ixodidae.
UCCUGGUUAGCUCAGUUGUUAGAGCGCUCCACUGGAAGUGGAGAGGUCCAUGGUUUUAUACCGUGACCAGGCG